UGAUGUUGCCACUUGCCAGCGUGGAAUUUGCAGGCCUUCCCUUUUCUUUUGCCUUUUGAGUUUUCGACCCAUUUUUAAAAAAAUUAUUUAUUUGUUGUUAUGGACGUUGAAUUCCAGGUGCAAACUUCUGGAAAGGAAAAAGCAUUGUUAAAUUGACACGGCGGUGUCGCUUUUUCUGUCACCGACCAAAAAAGUUCUAACCACCGUCUUCGAUUACUUUAAUUAAAUAUUAUUUUGAACAAAUGGGAUUAGGGUUACUUGUCUUUUAAGAAAACAAAUGUUUGUGCCUUUGUGGUAGUAAGGUAAUAUCAUGUUUUCUAAGGAGUUUUUCUUUGUCGGUUUCUUGUUACGGGCGCCUCAUCAGUCAUCAGGGUGCGUAAAUCAAAUUCUUCUCGACAGAUCUGGUUGUACAUCGCCAUAGAAAUCAAGCAAUGGAAGCAGGUUGGAGCAUUUUGGGACAGUGGGGGACAAAUGAAGCAAUUUGGGUCUUAUUCUAGCAACGAGGCUUGACAUAGGUGAAAAAUCCCAGAUGUCCCUAUGCAGGUUGUCUCAAAGGCAGAAGCCCAGGCGUCUCGAUGCUCUUAAGUAGAAGAAUAGGGAAACAUUGUUCAAUACUGCAGGCAUUCUUCAACAACGCAUCUCAACAUUGCCGAGAGCGUCUCGAUGCUCUCACAUUUUCUAUAAACGAGUCUUUUUCAUAUGAAAUUAAGUUGAUUCAUUAUUCAGAACAUGAAUGUCCCACAGAUUGUUCUGGCAAUCAUAGAGACAAUUAGUAAAGUACCAACAACUUAAUAAACAAAUAACACACA
Benincasa hispida (wax gourd) is the source of this 809-nucleotide non-coding RNA. The record is from RefSeq and is a predicted model, not a curated record. NCBI's taxonomy places the organism in Eukaryota, Viridiplantae, Streptophyta, Magnoliopsida, Cucurbitales, Cucurbitaceae.